RNAcentral lists this ribosomal RNA (245 nucleotides) under uncultured bacterium. RNAcentral describes it as "partial 16S ribosomal RNA". It matches the Rfam family "Bacterial small subunit ribosomal RNA", at positions 791 to 1035 of the family's 1533-position model. The record is from RNAcentral.
UAGUCCACGCUGUAAACGAUGAGUGCAAGGUGUUGGGUGUCAAAACUCAGUGCCGCCGUUAACACAGUAAGCACUCCGCCUGGGGAGUACGUACGCAAGUAUGAAACUCAAAGGAAUUGACGGGGACCCGCACAAGUAGCGGAGCAUGUGGUUUAAUUCGAUGCAACGCGAAGAACCUUACCAGGGCUUGACAUGAAACUGCAAAGGGUUAGAGAUAAUCCUCUUCUCUUCGGAGACGGUUUCAC